CCCUUAGAUGUUCUGGGCCGCACGCGCGCUACACUGACGAUGGCAACGAGUUUUUCCUUCGCCGAAAGGUGUGGGUAAUCUUUUGAAACAUCGUCGUGCUGGGGAUAGAUCAUUGCAAUUUUUGAUCUUGAACGAGGAAUUCCUAGUAAGCGCGAGUCAUCAGCUCGCGUUGAUUACGUCCCUGCCCUUUGUACACACCGCCCGUCGCUACUACCGAUUGAAUGGUUUAGUGAGGACUCCUGAUUGGCGCCGCCGCCCCGGCAACGGAGCAGCGGACUGCCGAAAAGUUGUUCAAACUUGAUCAUUUAGAGGAAGGUGAAGUCGUAACA
RNAcentral lists this ribosomal RNA (329 nucleotides) under uncultured eukaryote. RNAcentral's name for it is "partial 18S ribosomal RNA". It matches the Rfam family "Eukaryotic small subunit ribosomal RNA", at positions 1470 to 1796 of the family's 1831-position model. The record is from RNAcentral.